UUACACUAUUUCUGCCUAUUGCAUCCGGUAGAUGUAACUACCGAACAAAGACCACCCCUCUGGCUCUUUAAACAUCAAAGACUGAUUCAAUUGCUACCUCUGUCUGUGCGGCCAGCGUUCGUACAGCCGAACGCCACGUGGCAGAGAAAACCGCGGCCAUCUUUGUUCAUGCGAACAAAGGCAGCAGGACUUGGUCGAGUGUAUGGAACUGAAAAUGGACACUCGACUUACCAGAGGGAUCCAUUCUGUACUUUGUUCGCUAUUCUUCUAUUUCUAAAGGGACCGGCAAAACCCACCAAACUCAUGGAACUGUUUUGGGCAUACAGCCCAGGGGAAGCCGGUCACAGAAGACCUCCAUAGUUUUUGCGAACCCCUGAACCGAUCUUAGUGAAAUUAGAAUAUGUUGGUCACCCAGAUCAGGGCUAUCAGGGGACAUGUUAUUUGGGGUGAUACGACAAGUAUAAAGGGGUUUCCCAGUUAUUGGGGAAAUAGGUGAUUUUUCUGCCUGGAGAUAAUUAAGUUAUUAUCUUAUCAGACUUAAUUAUCUCCAGAGCUAGGGAAGGAGACUGGGGGUGUGUGUUAUGGUUUUACUGUAUGUGAUUGGUAAAUGUUUGUCCCUCCCUGAGGGCUGUCCCCUUGCAUGGGGACUUGCAUAAAAGCCUGUGUGACCAUUGAAAGUUAGUUCAUUUUGUACCCUUCUUCUUGACUUCGGCUGAUGUUUGGGGAUUGGUGUGUGUGGCGAAACCGACCUCGCCACUGGGCAUUG
Non-coding RNA from Pelobates cultripes (western spadefoot toad), 766 nucleotides. Lineage: Eukaryota; Metazoa; Chordata; Amphibia; Anura; Pelobatidae. The record is from the annotation of a GenBank genome assembly.